Molecule: long non-coding RNA, 1326 nt
Filed under: Apteryx owenii (little spotted kiwi)
Lineage: Eukaryota; Metazoa; Chordata; Aves; Apterygiformes; Apterygidae
Description: lncRNA (ENSAOWG00000014312.1)
Source: RNAcentral
CUCCUCUCUCUCCCUUUCUCAUUCCGUUUCUUUCUCUUUCUGUUUCUCCCUCUCUCUUUCCUUUUCUCUCCCCCUCCCUCCCUCUUUAUCCCACUUCCCCUUUCUCUCUCUCUCUGCUUCUCUCAGUCUUUUCUUUCUCACUCUCUCCCUUUCUCCCUCUCCCUUUCUCCCCUCUCCCUUCCCCCUUCUCUCCCUCUUUCUCCUUCAUUCUUUCUCUUUUUCACUCUCUCAUUCUCUCCCUUUCUCCCUCCUGCUGUCUCUCUCUCUCUCCCCCUGUCUUCUCCCUCUAUCUUUAUCUGUAUCGAUCUCCCUCUUACUCCCUCUCUCCUUCGCUUCUUUUGCCAUUCCUUUCUCUUGCUCUUUUUCUCUUUGACUUUCUCUUUCCUUUUGCUGUCUUUUUCCCUCUCUCUCCCUCCCUCCGUUUUCUUUCUCUUUCACUCUUUCCCUUUUUGCCUUUCCUCUUUUUUCCCUUGCUCUUCCUCUUUUCCCUUUCUCUCCCGCUUGCUUUCUUGCUCUCUCUCACCAUCUUCCUGCCUCCAUUCCUCCCUCCCUCCAUUCCUCCCUCCCUGCCUCCUUCCGUUCCUCCCUCCCUCCCUUCCUAUCUUUUCCUUUCCUUCCCACUUUCUCUCUCCUUUCUCUCUUUCCCUCUCUCUCUCGUUCUCCCUCCCUCUCCCUUCCCCUCUCUUCCCCCCUCCUUCUCCUUUUUAUCAUGCUUUGCAUCUCUGUCUUGCUCUUUUUCGCUGCCUCUCUUCCUCCUUCUCUCCCCCUUUCUCCCUAUUUCUUCCCCAUUUCCUUCUCUCCUGUCUUUUCUCGCUCGCUCUCCAUCUUUCCUUCUCCUUCUCUCUCUUUCUCAUUCUUUGUUUCUCUUUUCUCCCUUCCUCUUUCUUUUUCUUUCUCUCCCUCUUUAUUCCCCUUUCCCUUUCUCUCUCUCUCGGUUCUGUUUCCCUUUGUUCUUUCUUUCCCUCUCUCUCCCUUUCUCCUUUCCCCCUCUGUCUCCUUCCCUGUCCUUCUCUCUUCUUCUCUUUCCCUCUCUUUGCCUCUUGCUCUUUCCUUUCUCUCUUUCUCUCUUUCAUUCUCGUAGACUCUUUCCCUCCUCUUCUUUCUUUCUCUCUCUCCCUUUCUCUUGCUUUCUCUCUUUCUCUCCCUCUCGCUCUGGCUUCCUCCCUCUCUCUCUCUUUCUCUCCCUUCCUCCUCCUCUCUUCUUUCUCAUGCUUUCCCUUUCUCUUUUUGUCUUCUUUCUCUCCCUGUCUUUCCUUCUCUCCUUUUCUCUAUCUCUGCCUCUCCUGUUCUUUCUUUCCCUUUCCCUCCUUAUUUUUCUCUUUUAUC